AAUUCCUCUAUAUAAACCCCCCGUCUUCUUCAGAAAAGGGGUUGGAAAAAUUUUGGGAUAUAUUUUUAUCACAUAAAGAUAUAGAGGAAUUUUGAGGAAGCUCUCCGAUUUUUUUUCUUACUAAUACUUUAGCUGGAAUUUCCUAGCAAGAUAUAUUCAUAUAAAGGGGGAAGAAUAAUCGAGCUACGAAAGCAUAGCAAGUUAAGAAGCAAGGGGUUGUUGUUCAAGUUGUGGAAGCUCGUCUUUGCUAGCUCGUCCGUCUCUAGUUCGCUGCCCCGAAGGAGGUGAAAUUCCCUAAUUUCAACUCACUCAUUAUUUUAUUCUGUUAUCUUUCAGCAAAUAUGAAGUUCUUUAUCGGUUUCUUCCUCCUCUUACUCGAUCAUUUUCCAUUUUUUGUGAGUUGUGUUUGAUAGUGAUGAGAUUUUUCGUUGGGUUCCGAAUAGUUUAUCCGCGUUUAAGGUAUAUAUAUGUUUGAUGACAUGGACUGCUCUUCUUCGAAUACCAUGUAGAUUGAUGAUAGAAUGAAAGAUUUAUUGAUGUUGUUCCUAGGAUUUGGAUUUGGUCUGUCAUUGUUUGAUUAAUUUUUGUAAUUUUUUGAGCAUGUUCUCGUUCUUUUGUAGACGCUUCCCCUGUGUUAUCCUUUCUUUUUAGCCAUCAUGAGUAGAAGUUGCUUGGCAUGUGAUGUUAAGUCAUCACUCUAUUUCAUUAGGUUGGAUAUCAAUCGAACGCCAGCUCUUCCACACCCUCUUUCGAAUGUUUACAGCCUUGAGAGGCUGAUUUUACUUCGUCAUGGCUGAACUAUUUGCUUUCUUUUUGUGUAUAUGCAUUUGACCUUGUGGUUAGCAUCAUCCCGUCACUUUGUUUAGAUAUAUGAAUUUGGAUGCUAAUGCCUUAGGUUGUAUGUUGUUAGCUUUGACCUUUAGCCUCUUUUUCAUUCCUUGAUUAUCCUUUGUCAUGUACUGUUUAUGCUGUUUACCAUGACAUUGCUGUCAUAUUUAUUUCUUGGACAUGAGAUGUUCAUAAGUGCAUACCCAUGUUAUUGUUCCUGCUUGAAGUUUGUUGUCGAUUGUCUUAUUCAUAAGGCAUAUGUGAAGUUAUGGAAGUAAAAGGGAGGGAGUAUUAACCCAUAUGUUGUCAUUUGUUUUCCCUCUUGACACCUUGCUGUUUGUGUGCCCAAGAUUUGUAUGAUUCGAUCUGAGUGUGUUUCCUUUUAUGUGUGGUUUGUUCAUUCGAUCGAGUAAAUAUCAUAAUCUUUAAAAUAAGAUAAAAAAUUCUUUCUUUCUUUUCUUUAGAUGCUGCCAUUCUACCUUGCCAAUGUUUUUUUUUGUGACAUCGAUUCGAGUCCACUUUGGACUCCAUUCUCACAUUCCUACGAGUUGCAAAUCCUCGAGUCAUCCAUUUUCAAAAGUCUAGAAGGCCAAAGCUGAUUUGCAGGUCGAAACAGCAUAAAUGCAGUGCUGGAAAAGUGGCUGGAAAUUAUUUUGCAGGGAUUUGAAGAAGAUGUAUACAACAAUAUACAUAUUUUAUACACAGUUAUAUACUGAUAUACAGGUCUAAAAUACAGGUGGAUCCAAAUUCGAAAUCUGGACUUGUUCAGUGAAGAUAGGUUGCUAAAGGGAACUUUCAACUUUUGAAAAGUUGAAAAACAGUCUGAUAUACAGCCUAUAUACACUGAUAUACAGAGAUAUUAUACCUUAAAUAUGUGUAAAAAAUAAAUAUGAAUUGCAGGUUAACCUAUAGAGACGCCGAUUUCAGAUAAAAUACGGAAAAAUGCAAAAGAUAUGUACAUAGGAACCCAUAUACAUUGGUAUACAUUUCUGGGCAGCGAUACAAAAUUGUUAAACAAGUUUUAAAAUGGUACAGGUACAAAUACGCAGAGAUAAUAUGGAAAAUACAGGGUGAAUAGUGAGAAACACGUAUUCAAACAAGUGCAGGCCUCAAAAAGUCUAAUACGAAUUGGAUAUAUAUAGUAUACAUCAUUUGUAUACUUUAAUUUUUUUUUUCCAGGAAAUGGGCCAGGACCCUUUAGCAGACUUUUUUUUUUUAAAAUAGGACCAAGGGUCCAAAUGUUUUUCUUUUUUGGGAAAUUUUUCAAAAUGUCAAUAUUUUAGCAUUUAAGAGGGCUCAUUAGCAACAUUUUCAAUAUUUAGUAAAAAUGUCAAAUUUUAGUUUGUUAUGUAUCUUGUUUAUGUUUUUAUUAUUUAUUUUUAUUUAAUGAAUAUAAUUAUUUAAUAACAAAAGGGAGAAAAUCAAGGGAGAGAAUAUUUCAAAAAAAGGUAAGGAUCCUUAAUUUUCUCAUCAGUUACAUUUUCAAAUAAAAUUUAAAUCUUAUUCUUUUUUUCUCUCCAGAAUUUUUACCUUUUUAAAAUUAUAUUCAUUUCACAAUAUAUUCUAUUUAUAUUUAUUAUAGUUUUUAUUAGUUUGUAUUCAUUCCAAUAGGUAUGCCGAAUUUAUCUAUAUAGUCAUUUAAGAAAUAUAUUUGUAUUUUCAUAUAUUUUUUCCUAUAUAGUUAAUUUUUCAUCAAAAUAUUGUAUGUAUUCAUUUCAAUAUGUAUUUUAUUUGUAUUUCUAUUUAUUCUAGUUUUUAUUUAGAAUUUUGUAUAUAAUAUAUAAAAUACAAAAUAUUAGUAUGAUGAAAAAGUGAAUGAAAUAUAAAUUUGAAAAGAAAUAAUUGAAUAUUUGGUGUACUCAUUCUUAAAUAAAAUACAUAACUAGUUGACAUACCUUUAGAAUAAAUACAAAUUAGAAAAAAUGUCAAAUUCAUAAACAAUGCAACAUAAUUUUUUAAUGAAUACAACUGUUAAUUGUAAAAAUACAUACUGACUAAUACAGUAUCAAAAUUCAAUAUAUACUUUCAAAUUUAUGAAUACAAAAAACAAUAAAACUAUGAAAUACAAAAAUAAAUACUAAUUGUGGUAUAUUGACAUAACUAUAAAAAAAAACAUAAUACAAAAUGAAUUAAAUAUAUGAAAUACGAUUCCAAAUCUAUGGAUACAAAAUAUAAUAAAAUAAUGAAAUACAAAAAUACAUACGUCAUGUAAAACAACAACAAAAUUCAAUAUACACUUCCAAAUCUAUGAAUACAAUAAACAUCAAAACUAUGAAAUAUACACAAUCAAACUCAUAUAAUGUGUUAUAUUGACAUAACUAACAUACACACACAAAAAAAAAAAAUAGAACACAAAAUACAAUAAAUAUAUGAAAUACAAAAAUAAAUACUAACUAUAACACAAUAAAAAUUCCAUAUACACUUCCUAACGCAUUGUAACAUGAAUUUUUUUUAAUCUUAAAAAUUGCUAAACAAAUUAAACUAACAUGCAAGACACAGAACAUUUAAAAAAAAACUCUUCUCCAACAAAUUGGUCUUCUUCAACUUCAUGGUUAUGGAUUUGUGUGGGAUUUUGCACAUCGAUGGAUUCAGGCAUUUUUCUCUGUCGUAUAUCCUCCUUAGAAGCGGAACCUACAUUGUUGUUUAAUUCUUGAGUGAAAAAAAAAUUAAAUGAUGGAAUAUCGAAAGAACUUUGAUUAUUUUGUCUAAUAACUCUAGUAACUCUCUUGAAAAUGUCAAUUGAAGAGAGAAUUAUGUAGUCUCAAACCCUAAAAAAUAUUUUAAGGACAACAACAAAAUUAAAGAAAAAAACACUAAAAUCAGUAAGUAAAUAAAUAAGGAAUCUGAAAAACAUAAUAUCCAAAUCAACUUUAAUCUUCAAAUCAAAUCUUGCAACGAAAUUGAAUGAGAAUAGUAGAAAAUAUUAAUUUAUUGAAUCGAAAAUCUGUGGAAUUGAUUUGGAAGAAUGUUAGAGAGAGAAAUUAAAAAGAAGAAUAAGAAAAGAGAGAAAAAUCUGGAAAUUUGAUUCGGAAGAAAGUAAGAGAGAUAAAUUGAUAAACUUAAGAAAAGAAAGAAAAAAAUUAAAAUGACAUUAAUAUUUAUCCAAUUAAAUAAAUAUAGGAAAAUGUGUAAUCUAUGAGAGAGAAAGAAAAGCUGUAAAUAAUGAGAGACAAAAUAUUAAUAAUAUCAUAAUAAUUAUUUAUUUUUAAAAUAAUGAUAUUUUUGACAUGUUUACUAAUAUUAUUAAAAUAUGGAUAUUAUCACUAAAUAAAUUGAUUUUUUUGACUAGUUAGCUAAAUUUUCCUUCUUUUUUUUUGCAGGAUUUUUAUUGGUAAAAGGGCC
This 4170-nucleotide long non-coding RNA is filed under the name Solanum lycopersicum (tomato). Its description in RNAcentral is "long non-coding RNA (SLYC_LNC001286)". Lineage: Eukaryota; Viridiplantae; Streptophyta; Magnoliopsida; Solanales; Solanaceae. The record is from RNAcentral.